GUACAGGGAAAGGUAAUUAUCUGGUAUUCUGAUAGAAAGGAACCACUAAACAGUAUCAAAUGUUCAGUUUGAGGAAUCUGUUGACACGUUCGUUUAGAUUUCAGCAUCAAGGGUCAACAAAACCAAGACAAGUUGUUUUAAUAGCUACUUCUGUGGUUUGAAUAGAAUAAGUAAUAUGCUUGAACAAACCAGGUAAUACAGUUAAUUCUAAACAUCUCACUCAUCAUUUUAGUAUUUAGUUGGAGUAGAACAUGCAUUUAUAUUAUGGAAAAUACAGACUCACCAUUUGUGCUCAUUUAUUUCAUUAAUCCUGGGAAUUCUUCAAAUAAUUUCUUGGCUGUGAUUGGUUGUAGCUAAUCUGAAAACUUGAUAACUAGAUUAUGAAAGAUGAUUUUCUUUCCCACUAAAUAACUUCAAAAUAACUUCUGAUCUGGUGCAGUUUGGUAGAAAAGUAUUUUCUGUGUGAAUGUUUUUAUUAACCCUCUUACGACCAACCUGUCGGCGUCGACAGGAUUCGGCUUGUGUACUUUCCAUUACCGUAAUUUCUGAACCGUUCAACAUAUCAAAAAAAUUCCAAAAGUGCAGAAAAGCUGAGACAUUGCGCUUUCAGGGCAUAUAUGAUACAUUACGGUAGCCACCUGGGAAAGUUGUGAUAUGAGCUUGACCAAUCACAAGAAAGAUUCUCCGUUGUGUCAUAAUUGUCACCCAACCUACUCUGUAUCGUAACUCCUGAACAGUUGGCCGCAUUCAAAAAAUUCCGAAAGUAUCAGAAAGUGCAUAAAAUAAGCUGCAUCACAUGUGCAUGUUGCAGCAGAUAUUAGAGUAAAUAUUUUCAUUACGGAAUUUCCCUGCGGAGCUUCGUAACGUGUCAACGGAUUAGCGGUGCGAGAGAGAGAGAAGACGGCAGAGGACGAGUUGAAAUCGGGCAUAAAAUUAUGGAAAUGUCUAAAAGAAAAUCCACCAGACUGAUAAAUGGUCCUAGAAGGCUGAUAUCUGAAGGCAGUGAACAUGAGAGACAUAUAACCAGCGAACCAGGUUGCGUAAAAUAUUUGUACAAGCUAACGUUAGUCAUAUGAACGCUGCACAAACCAUUGGCUAACUGUUAGCUCCAUCUUGAUUCCUGCAUAAUUUGUGCAAUAACUAUUUAUUAUACUGAAAAUAAAAUCGUGGUCUUCCAGAAAUAAUGUCCUAAGUAAUAUUUUUACAUAACGUGAUUUUGGCAAAAAGAAAAAAAGAAAAAUCACCACCACUUUUUUUUUCUGCCAAAAGAUGAAUUGUGAAAAAAAACAACAAAUCAGCCAAGUGAGGGAUUGGUGACCUGUCCAGUGUGUCCCCUGCCUCUUGCUCCUGACCACUGGAGAUGGGUACCAGCACCCUCUCAGCCUGAAGUGUGAUAGAUAAAGUAUGGAUGGAUCCAGAGUGGGAUUUUGUCUGUAGCUGGGGAGGAACUGCUUUAGAGCCUACCACAAAAAGUGAAAACGCCUGAAAUAAUUUAAUAAAAAACAGGCAUAAAAACUUGUAAAUUGGAGGCCAGGCUUCACAGUUUUCUCAGCAUUUAUGUAAUAUAGUGGAAAGUUGAAAUUGUUCAUCUGAAAUUGUUUGCCCCUGUCAUCAGAAAGUUUUUGUUCAGCAAUAAACCUGAAAAUUUCAAUUCCGAUUUUUGUUUUUUUUCUCUUUAAACUGUUUGUUCACAAUUUUUGAAAUUGUGAACAGAAAUGUUAAAUAACCAUCAAAUACUGAAAGCUGAGGUUGUUCUGGAAAAAAGAGGAAAAAUUCAGACUCAUUGCACAUUGUUUGAGAAUUUUACAGCCAUAAAAUCAAAAAAAUACCAGGCGGCCCAGUUACAAUUAUGGUCUUAAGAGGGUUAAUUACCAUUUAAAGAAUCUUUAGCUCAA
Long non-coding RNA from Poecilia latipinna (sailfin molly), 1895 nucleotides. RefSeq lists it as uncharacterized. Lineage: Eukaryota; Metazoa; Chordata; Actinopteri; Cyprinodontiformes; Poeciliidae. The transcript has 2 exons. The record is from RefSeq and is a predicted model, not a curated record.